RNAcentral lists this ribosomal RNA (460 nucleotides) under uncultured bacterium. Its description in RNAcentral is "partial 16S ribosomal RNA". It matches the Rfam family "Bacterial small subunit ribosomal RNA", at positions 338 to 795 of the family's 1533-position model. The record is from RNAcentral.
CCUACGGGAGGCAGCAGUGAGGAAUAUUGGUCAAUGGACGAGAGUCUGAACCAGCCAAGUAGCGUGAAGGAUGACUGCCCUAUGGGUUGUAAACUUCUUUUAUAUGGGAAUAAAAUGUUCCACGUGUGGGAUUUUGUAUGUACCAUAUGAAUAAGGAUCGGCUAACUCCGUGCCAGCCGCCGCGGUAAUACGGAGGAUCCGAGCGUUAUCCGGAUUUAUUGGGUUUAAAGGGAGCGUAGGUAGAUUGUUAAGUCAGUUGUGAAAGUUUGCGGCUCAACCGUAGAAUUGCAGUUGAAACUGGCAGUCUUGAGUACAGUAGAGGUGGGCGGAAUGCGUGGUGUAGCGGUGAAAUGCUUAGAUAUCACGAAGAACUCCGAUUGCGAAGGCAGCUCACUGGACUGCAACUGACACUGAGGCUCGAAAGUGUGGGUAUCAAACAGGAUUAGAUACCCUUGUAGUC